This 606-nucleotide ribosomal RNA is filed under the name uncultured fungus. RNAcentral's name for it is "LSU rRNA". It matches the Rfam family "Eukaryotic large subunit ribosomal RNA", at positions 64 to 614 of the family's 3401-position model. Lineage: Eukaryota; Fungi. The record is from RNAcentral.
AAAAACAUGAUUCCUCANUACGGCGAGCGAAGAGGGAUAAGCUCAAAUUUUAAAUCUGUUGGGUUUCAACCUAACAGAGUUGUAUUUUGAAGAAACGUUUUCUGCGUCCAGGAUUAGCCUAAAUCCUUUGGGAUAAGGUAUCAUGGAGGGUGAGAAUCCCGUUCAUGGUUAAUCUUAAGGACGUUCUACGAUACGUUCUCCAAGAGUCGAGUUGUUUGGGAUUGCAGCUCAAAAUGGGAGGUAAAUUUCUCCUAAGGCUAAAUAUUGGCGAGAGACCGAUAGCGAACAAGUACCGUGAGGGAAAGAUGAAAAGAACCUUGAAAAGAGAGUUAAACAGUACGUGAAAUUGUUGAAAGGGAAACGAUUGAAGUCAGUCAUACCAACGGGAAAUCAACCUUUUGAGUUUGUUCUUGUGGGUUUCGAGGAGUUUAAAAGCCUUCGGAUUUGCUAGGAUUGGGCUCUUUUGGUGUACUUUCUCGUACGGUUAGUCAACAUCGGUUUUGAAUGUCAUAAAAUGACUGGAGGAAUGUGGCUUCGAUCUCGCAUCGGAGUGUNAUAACCUUNGGUANAUGUGAUGUNCGANACCGANGAUNGCNNCGGAUACCU